AAUAGAGGUGAUCAACAAAGUCAACUAAUUUGUUAUUUUAUAAAUAAUAAAAAGUAUUACUUGAAAUUUCAAUCUAAAUAGUAAAUUAAAGUACUGUUUGUAGUGCUUUUUGGUAGUUUCGUAUAGACAUUCAAGUCUCUUCCUACUGGAUGGCCACAUGCAGCAUUAAGGAUAAAAAUCAUUCAAGGAAAUACCUAGUUGAGGUUUCAUAAAAAGUUUAACUGAAGAUGCAAUCUGUACAUAAGUCCAUAGAUACAAAAUCUAGGAAAAUAUGUUCCGUACCACAGUGUUCAUCAUAUUGUACGAAAGAUAUAUCAUUGCAUGCCUUUCCCUUAGAUCCCAAGCUAAAUAAAGCUUGGAAAACUGUACUGAAAAUUGGAAAACCUGUAACAAAAUAUAUGUUAGUUUGCAGCCACCAUUUUACUAAAAGUGAUUUUACUAUGACAACCAGUAAGAGACGGAGAUUGAAGAAACAUGUAAUUCCCAGUAAAAAAAUUCCUCAGCCGAGUCAUCCAACAACAAAAACAGCAGUUAAUCGGACAGACCGGUAUUGGUAAAUAACCAUAUUUUUAAACAUACCAACUAGUUACUUGAAUGUUUAUUUUUUUGCUAUUGAAAUUAAACUUUAAAAUGUCAUAUAUCAUAGUAUUUUAGUUUUAUUUUGAAGGUUGCAGAAAUGUGCCUGUGUAUCUAAAGAACAAAUGGAAAUUGAAAGUGGAGGUUCAUUACAACCAGAUAACACCAAUGUGGACAUGGGAAAGGGACCUGCAAUAAUAUCAAAGUUAAAUAAAGGUGUUAUAGUCUCACAUGUAGGCACAAUUUCUACUGAUUUUACUGAAGAUAAGGCAACACAAACUGAAUUUUAUGACUUUUUUCAGCUGUCACAAAUUUGAAAUUCUGAUGAAAAGUUGAUUAAUUUUUGUGGAAUCACUUCUGAUAUCUUGAAAACUCUCAAAAUGUACCCAAAAUACAGCAACUUUUAACAAAUGCAACUGGCGCAAUGGUAAAAUGUAACCCAUUGUUAUAUUGCACAUUGGUUUGAUAUCACGCAUGGAAAAGUUGAUGAAAAAAUAUUUUUUGAUAUAUUUAAAUGAAACCGAUAAUAAUAAAAAUAUUAGUAAUAGGUAAUUGAAAAAGUUCAACUACAUUUGAUGAUCAGUUAGAUAUUUUUAUUGCCAAUUCUAUAAAUUUCUAUGAAAUCUGACAUGACUUUUACUUUUUGGAUGGUAAAUUAAACUGGUAGUAUAAAAUUAAUGAAAAAAAAUUGUCUUAUUUAUUAUUUAUUUAAACAAUAAACAUGCAGCAUAUGUUAAAAAUAAUUUACCAAGAUUUUUUAAAUCAUUUCUGUUGCAAAAUUCUUAUUAAAAUCUACAAGAUUUUGCACGGCUAGAAUAUAGAAUUAAUGUUGUGGAAUUUAAACCUAGAAGUUUUCUCAAUAUAUUCACAAGGUUCCAAGAAGACUUUAGAAAGGCUCUGCUUAUUGUAAACAGAAACAUAAACAUAAUAAGACUUGCAGUUCUGGUGGACUAU
Diorhabda carinulata is the source of this 1530-nucleotide RNA transcript. RefSeq lists it as uncharacterized. The record is from RefSeq and is a predicted model, not a curated record. The transcript has 5 exons. Lineage: Eukaryota; Metazoa; Arthropoda; Insecta; Coleoptera; Chrysomelidae.